CCACCUGAUCCCAUCCCGAACUCAGCAGUGAAACGACGCAUCGCCGAUGGUAGUGUGGGGUCUCCCCAUGUGAGAGUAGGUCAUCGUCAAGC
RNAcentral lists this ribosomal RNA (92 nucleotides) under Pseudomonas sp. Lineage: Bacteria; Pseudomonadati; Pseudomonadota; Gammaproteobacteria; Pseudomonadales; Pseudomonadaceae. The record is from RNAcentral.